Molecule: non-coding RNA, 89 nt
Filed under: Vagococcus teuberi
Lineage: Bacteria; Bacillati; Bacillota; Bacilli; Lactobacillales; Enterococcaceae
Description: TPP sequence
Rfam family: TPP riboswitch aptamer (THI element)
About the family: Vitamin B(1) in its active form thiamin pyrophosphate (TPP) is an essential coenzyme that is synthesised by coupling of pyrimidine and thiazole moieties in bacteria.
Source: Rfam by way of RNAcentral
UAGAAACAUUUGGGGUGCGUAAAGCUGAGAUUAUACCCAUGGAAUCUGCUCCAGUUAGUACUGGCGAAGAGAAAUGUAUCAUUUAUGAU